ACACAGACAUGUCCACUUAAUAAUCCAGAAAUAUGCUGACACCGAUAAUUUAUCAGCACAACAAUGUCCAGAGUAUUUCAGGUGGAUUUACCAGGUGGAUAACAAUAUUAAGUGAAUAUGACCUGAUGAUUAUGUACUUUGUUUCCAAUGUGAUCGGAUUAAUUUUUAUUUUUCUUUUGGAAAAAAAGAAUCAUCCUCAUUUAUGUUAAUACAUGAAUUGUUUAGUUUGAUUUCUAUCCAUAAAAUUCAUAUUUUUAGUCGCAUAAAAAAUUUCAGUAGGUAUAUGAUUUUAAAUUUCAUAAUUUAUAUUCUAAUUUAGAUCAAUGUUAAGAUAAAAGUUAAUAAAUUUUACUCUAUCUCUUUCAGAAAGCAUUUAAUCUAAAUCUCAUAUAAAAGAGAAAUAAGAAAAUUCAAAGUCAAUUAUAGUUGUGAAUUACGCAGUCAAAUAAUGCCAACGCUGAUCAUCAAGGUAUCAUGCUCUCAAGAUCCGAUUUUUUCAGAUAUGUUAUGGAUUAAAAUCUAUCAGUUUGCAUACCAGAAGUAGAAUUUAUAAUAUUGCUUCUUCCUGCAGAAAGGCAUAACCAUAAUGUUGCUGGAACAUUUAUCAUAUUCCAUUAUUUUCAUUUAUUUAAGGUAGCAUCAGCAGAUCAACUCCAGCGUCAGGAAACCCGCAUUCAUAAAUGUCUACAUGUCUGAAAUUGAUGAGCCUGGUCAGGAAAAUCUAAUGUUAAUACUGAUUUAAUUUAUUUUCAGACCUCAUUUUAAUGAAAAUUUUAAUAAUUUACUCGCACGCGAAGCGCGGGCAUAAUUCCCUAGUGUAAUUUAAUUGAUGUAAAUUGACGUAACCGCGUGGUCAUUCAUAUUUAUAAUUAGAUGGCUUAUUAGCACACUAUAAAUAAACCGCACAUAAAAUAAAUAAUAAUUUUAUAAUCAAAUAACUAAACAUCAUCAUGUGGUAUAAUAAAUUAUUAAGUCGACUGUAGUUCAAAUUUGGAUGUUAUCCCCGUGUGAGAUAUCCUUCUAUACAUGAUAGUAUUAACUAAUUUGAAUGUUGUCCUCAAGAUGAGAUAUCCUUUUAUACAUAGUAGUAUUAACUUAUUAAGAUCAAAAAGAUUGCUAAAGUGGUAUUGUUAGCUUUUCAUUGCAAUGGAAAGAGUGCAAAGUAAAGUUACCNGAAAUAUGCUGACACCGAUAAUUUAUCAGCACAACAAUGUCCAGAGUAUUUCAGGUGGAUUUACCAGGUGGAUAACAAUAUUAAGUGAAUAUGACCUGAUGAUUAUGUACUUUGUUUCCAAUGUGAUCGGAUUAAUUUUUAUUUUUCUUUUGGAAAAAAAGAAUCAUCCUCAUUUAUGUUAAUACAUGAAUUGUUUAGUUUGAUUUCUAUCCAUAAAAUUCAUAUUUUUAG
RNAcentral lists this long non-coding RNA (1405 nucleotides) under Daucus carota (carrot). RNAcentral's name for it is "long non-coding RNA (DCAR_LNC002413)". Lineage: Eukaryota; Viridiplantae; Streptophyta; Magnoliopsida; Apiales; Apiaceae. The record is from RNAcentral.